RNAcentral lists this long non-coding RNA (699 nucleotides) under Olea europaea subsp. europaea. The record is from RNAcentral. Lineage: Eukaryota; Viridiplantae; Streptophyta; Magnoliopsida; Lamiales; Oleaceae.
CAAUUUUAUUUUUUUACUUUUUACCAUUGUUUAAACAUUGAUUAAUUUCCCCAUAUUCACCACCAUCGCGUAACAUUUUUGCAGGCUUACUUCCCAAUGGCGAUUUCGAGGCCACUCUAUCGGAAGGAUUAUCUUCAGAAGCCGGACUUUCCGAUAACAUGGCAACAAUCCCAGCUGGAAAUCUAACGGCACGGUCGAACUAGUCGAAUUAGGCCAAUGAAAGGCAAAAUGAUCCUCAUCGUACCGCAGGGUGCACAUGCUGUGCGGCUCGGUAACGACGCCCAAAUUAACCAAGAAAUCGCCGUCGAAAUGGGCUCAUUGUACUCAAUCACAUUCAGUGCAGCUCAAACUUGCCCCCAAUUAGAGUCGCUCAACGUUUCAGUGCCGCUGGCGUCCCAAAACAUUGAUUUGUAUACUAUGUAUGGUGUGAAAAUACCCCAAGCAGCUGCAUUGUGAUGUCGGAGAUGACGUCGCCGCUCUCAGAUUUUCAAACACGAGGAUGACGCCGACGUUUGCUUCGUCUGUGAGUGUUUGCAUUUCAGUGCGGCAAACGAGGUAUAGGUUCAACAAAUAUGUUGGGGUCGAGUCCGCAUCGUGCUACUGUUCGUCGACAGUGUGAUGUUGUGGCCGUCGCCUCUGGUGUGGUUCGUGGGUAGAGAGUGAGAGAGAGGGAGAGAUUGGAGAGAAAGAAAAGGGUGA